Molecule: ribosomal RNA, 245 nt
Filed under: uncultured Actinomycetales bacterium
Lineage: Bacteria; Bacillati; Actinomycetota; Actinomycetes; Actinomycetales
Description: partial 16S ribosomal RNA
Rfam family: Bacterial small subunit ribosomal RNA
Source: RNAcentral
AGUACUCGAGUGGCGAACGGGUGAGUAACACGUGGGUGAUCUGCCCUGCACUUCGGGAUAAGCCUGGGAAACUGGGUCUAAUACCGGAUAGGAGCCAUUUUUAGUGUGAUGGUUGGAAAGUUUUUUCGGUGUAGGAUGAGCUCGCGGCCUAUCAGCUUGUUGGUGGGGUAAUGGCCUACCAAGGCGGCGACGGGUAGCCGGCCUGAGAGGGUGGACGGCCACAUUGGGACUGAGAUACGGCCCAG